RNAcentral lists this transfer RNA (75 nucleotides) under Chloroflexota bacterium. RNAcentral describes it as "tRNA-Met". It matches the Rfam family "tRNA". Rfam says of the family: Transfer RNA (tRNA) molecules are approximately 80 nucleotides in length. Their secondary structure includes four short double-helical elements and three loops (D, anti-codon, and T loops). Further hydrogen bonds mediate the characteristic L-shaped molecular structure. tRNAs have two regions of fundamental functional importance: the anti-codon, which is responsible for specific mRNA codon recognition, and the 3' end, to which the tRNAs corresponding amino acid is attached (by aminoacyl-tRNA synthetases). tRNAs cope with the degeneracy of the genetic code in two manners: having more than one tRNA (with a specific anti-codon) for a particular amino acid; and 'wobble' base-pairing, i.e. permitting non-standard base-pairing at the 3rd anti-codon position. RNAcentral also lists the same sequence under 2 other names. The record is from RNAcentral. Lineage: Bacteria; Bacillati; Chloroflexota.
GGCGGGGUGGAGCAGCGGUAGCUCGUCGGGCUCAUAACCCGAAGGUCGUCGGUUCGAAUCCGUCCCCCGCAACCA